UACGGAGGGGGCAAGCGUUGUUCGGAAUUACUGGGCGUAAAGGGCGCGUAGGCGGCCCGCUAAGUCGGACGUGAAAUCCCCGGGCUCAACCCGGGAACUGCGUCUGAUACUGGCUGGCUUGAGUCCGGGAGAGGGAUGCGGAAUUCCAGGUGUAGCGGUGAAAUGCGUAGAGAUCGGGAGGAACACCCAGGGGGAAGCCAGCAGACUGGGCAAGUGCUGACGCUGAGGUGCGAGAGCGUGGGGAGCGAACCGG
RNAcentral lists this ribosomal RNA (253 nucleotides) under uncultured bacterium. RNAcentral describes it as "partial 16S ribosomal RNA". It matches the Rfam family "Bacterial small subunit ribosomal RNA", at positions 524 to 776 of the family's 1533-position model. The record is from RNAcentral.